This 403-nucleotide ribosomal RNA is filed under the name Verrucomicrobiota bacterium. Its description in RNAcentral is "Verrucomicrobia bacterium partial 16S ribosomal RNA". It matches the Rfam family "Bacterial small subunit ribosomal RNA", at positions 355 to 776 of the family's 1533-position model. The record is from RNAcentral. Lineage: Bacteria; Pseudomonadati; Verrucomicrobiota.
UGGGGAAUAUUGCACAAUGGGGGAAACCCUGAUGCAGCGACGCCGCGUGAGCGAAGAAGGCCUUCGGGUCGUAAAGCUCUUUUAUAUGGGAAGAUAAUGACGGUACCAUAAGAAAAAGCCCCGGCUAACUACGUGCCAGCAGCCCCGGUAAUACGUAGGGGGCUAGCGUUGUCCGGAAUCACUGGGCGUAAAGGGUUCGCAGGGGGCAAUGCAAGUCAGAUGUAAAAGGCAAAGGCUCAACCUUUGUAAGCAGCUGAAACUGUAUAGCUUGAGAAGUGUAGAGGCAAGUGGAAUUUUUAGUGUAGCGGUGAAAUGCGUAGAUAUUAGGAAGAAUACCGGUGGCGAAGGCGACUUGCUGGGCAGAAUCUGACGCUGAGGAACGAAAGCGUGGGGAGCAAACAGG